AUGAUGCUCGUCAAUGUGUGGAGGGACCGCCAUGGGAUCUGCAGUGGAAAGCAGCCACCGCCACAUCGACCUGGCCUCCUUCCAUCUGAUUCCCGCAGGGGCGGUGUGGAUCCGGGGUUAGGCGAGUGUGGGGAAAGAGGAAGAAGACCAAGAAAGGAAAGGAAAAUGAGAAGCUCGGGUGAUGGAGGUAAUUCUGGAGAAGAGCUCCUGGUGGUGGGAUCAAUUCAGGGAGGAGGUGGAUAUCAUAGCGGAGGAGAUGAAGGGUGUGUCGAUGACAUAGAAGAAGAGGAGGAGCUUAAGGCUGCGGAGAAAAAGGAACAACAGCAGAGUAUCAGACUUCGAUCUAGCUGA
RNAcentral lists this ribosomal RNA (351 nucleotides) under Triticum aestivum (bread wheat). RNAcentral's name for it is "partial small subunit ribosomal RNA". Lineage: Eukaryota; Viridiplantae; Streptophyta; Magnoliopsida; Poales; Poaceae. The record is from RNAcentral.